Molecule: ribosomal RNA, 251 nt
Filed under: uncultured prokaryote
Description: partial 16S rRNA
Rfam family: Bacterial small subunit ribosomal RNA
Source: RNAcentral
ACGUAGGGGGCGAGCGUUAUUCGGAAUCACUGGGUGUAAAGGGUAUGUAGGCGGCCCUUUAAGUCGCGUGUCAAAGCCCAGAGCUCAACGCUGGGAGUGCACGCGAUACUGACGGGCUUGAGGGCUGGAGAGGUGAGCGGAAUUCCCGGUGUAGUGGUAAAAUACGUAGAGAUCGGGAGGAACACCGGCGGCGUAGGCGGCUCACUAGACAGUUUCUGACGCUAAGCUACGAAAGCGUGGGGAGCAAACAG